This is an RNA transcript of Drosophila erecta, 1143 nucleotides long. It is a transcript of the gene named transforming growth factor beta-1-induced transcript 1 protein, with no coding region annotated. The record is from RefSeq and is a predicted model, not a curated record. The transcript is spliced from 2 exons. Lineage: Eukaryota; Metazoa; Arthropoda; Insecta; Diptera; Drosophilidae.
UAUAUCCAGUCCAGUAGGCGGUGCUUGUAUUUUUUUCAGAUGUCAAACCAUAGACCCAUCGUUCCCAUCGAAUAUCUCAUUCAGUUUUUGAGUCUUGCUAAAUUCAUACGUUUUCAUUCGUUUCGUUUUCUAUAUUUAUUUGAAUAAAAUCAUCAAAAUUUCUAAAAAAAAAAACCGUAUUCAAAUUUGUCCGAAUCCGUAUGCUUCUUUUGUUCUCCCAUUUUGUGUGAACCAUCUAAAAAAAAGUAAAGUAAAAUACGGUGGGCCUGUAACAAAUUUUUUGAUAUACGAGAACAGUACGAUAACGAACUAAGAAGACAACAUUGAGAGAAAGUAGAGGAAGGAGAGAAACACACGCCAAAACCGUGAAACACAGACACCAAUCGAAAGGCCAAGAUGACUGAGGACAUUGUGUGCCACAAGUGCCAGGAGGCCAUCACCAAGCGAAUGAUCACCGCCCUGGGCAAGACGUGGCAUCCGGAGCACUUCCUGUGCCGCCACUGCGAUGAGCAGAUCGUGGACGCCACCUUCAAUAUCCAGAGCGGCGAGCCGGUGUGCAACAAGUGCUUCGUGGAGCGGUACACCUACACCUGUGCCGGCUGCAAGAAGCCCAUCCUCGAAAGGACCAUCUGCGCCAUGGGCGAGAGCUGGCACGAGGCUUGCUUCUGCUGCGGCGGAGCCUGCAAGAAGCCUCUGGCCAAUCAGUCGUUCUAUGAGCGCGACGGCAAGGCCUACUGCAAACAGGAUUACGAGGACCUCUUCGCUGCCAGGUGCGCCAAGUGCGAGAAGCCCAUAACGGACUCGGCGGUGAUCGCCAUGAACGUGAAGUGGCAUCGCGAUUGCUUCCGGUGCAACAAGUGCGAGAAUCCCAUCACCUCGCAGACCUUCACCAUCGACGGGGACAAGCCCGUGUGCCCCGCCUGCAAUUGCUGACACCGCCCCCGAUGUCCAUGUUCAUUAAGAGUUGGCCACUUGUUUCCCUACACUAAACUUAAAAUAGUUCCCGAUGCUUAGGAGGCCAAGAUGCAGGCAAGAAAUCAGACCCAAACACUUAGCACACUCGACAACACACACGCACCCAAAUAAAAAGAAAUAAGUAAAGUCAAUGGAACGGGGUGGCCAGAGAAUACCCUUUUAUCUUAA